AACGAGAGAUGAGGAGCUUGCUCUUCAAAUCGAGUGGCGAACGGGUGAGUAACGCGUGAGGAACCUGCCUCAAAGAGGGGGACAACAGUUGGAAACGACUGCUAAUACCGCAUAAGCCCACGGCCCGGCAUCGAGCAGAGGGAAAAGGAGUGAUCCGCUUUGAGAUGGCCUCGCGUCCGAUUAGCUGGUUGGUGAGGUAACGGCCCACCAAGGCGACGAUCGGUAGCCGGACUGAGAGGUUGAACGGCCACAUUGGGACUGAGACACGGCCCAGACUCCUACGGGAGGCAGCAGUGGGGAAUAUUGCACAAUGGGGGAAACCCUGAUGCAGCGACGCCGCGUGGAGGGAGAAGGUCUUCGGAUUGUAAACUCCUGUUGUUGAGGAAGAUAAUGACGGUACUCAACAAGGAAGUGACGGCUAACUACGUGCCAGCAGCCGCGGUAAAACGUAGGUCACAAGCGUUGUCCGGAAUUACUGGGUGUAAAGGGAGCGCAGGCGGGAGAACAAGUUGGAAGUGAAAUCCAUGGGCUCAACCCAUGAACUGCUUUCAAAACUGUUUUUCUUGAGUAGUGCAGAGGUAGGCGGAAUUCCCGGUGUAGCGGUGGAAUGCGUAGAUAUCGGGAGGAACACCAGUGGCGAAGCGGCCUACUGGGCACCAACUGACGCUGAGCUCGAAAGUGUGGGUAGCAAACAG
RNAcentral lists this ribosomal RNA (695 nucleotides) under uncultured bacterium. Its description in RNAcentral is "bacterial SSU rRNA". It matches the Rfam family "Bacterial small subunit ribosomal RNA", at positions 65 to 775 of the family's 1533-position model. The record is from RNAcentral.